RNAcentral lists this ribosomal RNA (468 nucleotides) under uncultured bacterium. RNAcentral's name for it is "partial 16S ribosomal RNA". It matches the Rfam family "Bacterial small subunit ribosomal RNA", at positions 28 to 507 of the family's 1533-position model. The record is from RNAcentral.
GACGAACGCUGGCGGCGUGCUUAACACAUGCAAGUCGAACGGAAAGGCCCUGCUUUUGUGGGUUGCUCGUUUGGCGAACGGGUGAGUAACACGUGAGUAACCUGCCCUUGACUUUGUGAUAACUUCAGGAAACUGGGGCUAAUACCGGAUAGGAUCUCUUGCUCCAUGUUGGGGGUUGGAAAGUUUCGGCGGUUGGGGAUGGACUCGCGGCUUAUCAGCUUGUUGGUGGGGUAGUGGCUUACCAAGGCUUUGACGGGUAGCCGGCCUGAGAGGGUUACCGGCCACAUUGGGAAUGAGAUACGGCCCAGACUCCUACGGGAGGCAGCAGUGGGGAAUAUUGCACAAUGGGCGGAAGCCUGAUGCAGCAACGCCGCGUGCGGGAUGACGGCCUUCGGGUUGUAAACCGCUUUCGCCUGUGACGAAGAGUGAGUGACGGUAAUGGGUAAAGAAGCACCGGCUAACUACGUG